CCUACGGGCGGCUGCAGUGGGGAAUAUUGGACAAUGGGGGCAACCCUGAUCCAGCCAUGCCGCGUGUGUGAAGAAGGCCCUCGGGUUGUAAAGCACUUUCAGUGAGGAAGAACGCCUGGUGGUUAAUACCCAUCAGGAAAGACAUCACUCACAGAAGAAGCACCGGCUAACUCCGUGCCAGCAGCCGCGGUAAUACGGAGGGUGCGAGCGUUAAUCGGAAUUACUGGGCGUAAAGUGCGCGUAGGUGGCUUGAUAAGCCGGUUGUGAAAGCCCCGGGCUCAACCUGGGAACGGCAUCCGGAACUGUCGAGCUAGAGUGCAGGAGAGGAAGGUAGAAUUCCCGGUGUAGCGGUGAAAUGCGUAGAGAUCGGGAGGAAUACCAGUGGCGAAGGCGGCCUUCUGGACUGACACUGACACUGAGGUGCGAAAGCGUGGGUAGCAAACAGGAUUAGAUACCCCAGUAGUC
RNAcentral lists this ribosomal RNA (465 nucleotides) under Vreelandella stevensii. Its description in RNAcentral is "partial 16S ribosomal RNA". It matches the Rfam family "Bacterial small subunit ribosomal RNA", at positions 338 to 795 of the family's 1533-position model. The record is from RNAcentral. Lineage: Bacteria; Pseudomonadati; Pseudomonadota; Gammaproteobacteria; Oceanospirillales; Halomonadaceae.